Molecule: unclassified non-coding RNA, 315 nt
Filed under: Hevea brasiliensis (rubber tree)
Lineage: Eukaryota; Viridiplantae; Streptophyta; Magnoliopsida; Malpighiales; Euphorbiaceae
Source: RNAcentral
UCCACCACCACCAGGAGUUAAAAUUUGAAGAAUCUCCCCAGCUUUCACUGUUACAGUAUUCUUGCCUCCAAGAUAAACUCUUCUUCCAUCCUUUCUCACCAGAAAAUUAGCCCCACGAGCACCGUUUUUUCCUCCUUUCAAACCUCUCGGCGCAUGGACGCGUCUCUCCGAAAGAAUACUCACCACCACUGGCUGCUUGAACUCGAUCUCCCUAACGAGCCCAUCACCUCCUUUGUAGAUUCCACUUCCUCCACUGUUCUCUCUGAGUGCAAAUGUAUGUAGAAGAACAGGGUAUCGCUGCUCGAAUAUCUCGGG